AUGUUGAGAAGUAAUCACACCCCAGGAAUGGCCUCAGACCCACUCUCUGAGGUCCUGAUUGAAGGGCUGUCAUGUCAGCCAAAGUUCUCUGUACCCUGUAAACUCACCACUUCCUACAGCCACCAGGGGUCCUCCAGGUCAGCAGAGAUCCCAAGUGAGGAAAGGCAGAAUCCGGAGAACAAGGAAAGCGAUGCAAAUGGAACCAGAGAUGCCAACAAAGACCAUGCGAAACAGAGAGAGAGCAGCGCUCUGGGGAACCAGAGGUGUGGGAGUGGACAGGAGAUUUUGGAGGGAGCUUCGGGGAGCAGAGGCAAGAUGAGUUUUCCAUGUGUAGUUUGAGACAUUGGAAAGGAUCUCCUUAGUUACUUUUCAAUGAUGUCAGAAACAAGUGGAAUUCCUUUUCUUUUCUUUUUUUUUUUUAAUAUUUAUUUAUUUGCCUGCGCCAGGUCAGGUUUCCCUGAUAGUUCAGUCAGUAAAGAAUCCUCUUGUGAUGCAGAAGACCUGGGUUUGGAGAAUCCCCAGGAGAAGGGAAUGACAACCCACUCCAGUAUUUUUGCCUGGGAAAUCCCCAUGGACAGAGGAACCUGGCAGGCUAUAGUCCAUGGGGUUGCAAACACGACUUAAUGACUAAAACCACCACCACCACAUGCCGGGUCUUCUUUGCAGCAUGCUAGACCCUCGAUCUUCAUUGCAGCAUGUGGGAUCUUUUUAGUUGAACUCUUAGUUGAAGCAUGUGGAAUCUAGUUCCCUCACCAGUGAUCAACCCCUGGUCUCCUACAUCGGGAGCAUAGAUCCUUAGCCACUGGACCACCAGUGAAGUCCCCUCCUUUUCAAUUAUUAUUGCCUACAAGCAGUUGUUCUUUGAAGGAUAGUCUGUGCCCACAGGAUACUGGAUUACAGAUGGCUUUCAUAUGGAGUAGAGAGCUUUCAUCCAGGAUUUUUAGACCUAAAAUUUACAUCUAGCUGCACCUGGAUUAAAAUCAUCCUUUCAGAUCCUAAUCCAGGGCACAUCAUCACUGCUCCCCAUCUGUAGUGUGAAGCAUCUGGGUCCAAUCAAGCACAAAUAUUUUCAUUCUCAUGCUUCAGUGGCAAAGGCAGAGAGGUGUUGUAGAAGUAAUACUGGACGUGAAAUUACAACUG
RNAcentral lists this long non-coding RNA (1140 nucleotides) under Capra hircus (goat). RNAcentral describes it as "lncRNA (ENSCHIG00010028079.1)". Lineage: Eukaryota; Metazoa; Chordata; Mammalia; Artiodactyla; Bovidae. The record is from RNAcentral.